UGCCAGCAGCCGCGGUAAUACGGAGGGUGCGAGCGUUAAUCGGAAUUACUGGGCGUAAAGCGCGCGCAGGCGGCUAGAUAAGUCGGAUGUGAAAGCCCCGAGCUUAACUUGGGAACUGCAUUCGAUACUGUCUAGCUAGAGUAUGGUAGAGGGAAGCGGAAUUCCGGGUGUAGCGGUGAAAUGCGUAGAUAUCCGGAGGAACACCAGUGGCGAAGGCGGCUUCCUGGACCAAUACUGACGCUCAGGCGCGAAAGCGUGGGGAGCAAACAGGAUUAGAUA
Molecule: ribosomal RNA, 279 nt
Filed under: uncultured bacterium
Lineage: Bacteria
Description: partial 16S ribosomal RNA
Rfam family: Bacterial small subunit ribosomal RNA
Source: RNAcentral